Molecule: long non-coding RNA, 940 nt
Organism: Dermacentor andersoni
Lineage: Eukaryota; Metazoa; Arthropoda; Arachnida; Ixodida; Ixodidae
Source: RefSeq, a predicted model, not a curated record
UUCUAGGUGGCGCCCCAACAGCUCAUCGAAAUGCACGCAGCGCGAAUUCGAAUCCACAGCGAGAUUUGAGCGCGGGAAGCUGUUAUGUGCCAGUAUGCUGGGGUAGGCUUGACAACUCAAAAUUUUCUAUUUGUACUUACGAAGCAGCAGUAUUUGACAGAAAAGAAUAAUACUUUGAUGCUCUUCUCACGCCUACAAGCGAGGACGGCGUGAUUAACAACACAGCGUAAUGCGCAACGGUGAACGCCAACGAACUGCGUGCCGCCACCAACCUGGACGAAGCAUUUUGGAUUAUGAAUGGAUACCUGAACACUGCUUGAAGGAGCAAGCUCUACAGCAUCACUUAUGCUCCUUUCCAUGGGUUGGCAAGAGGAACCGUGGCACGCAACUCUACAGGCACCUGUGGUCUUCACUACCUUCGGAGGAGAGAUGCAUUGAAUGCUCCCUAUCAUGCACUGCCAUCUCAACAGUACCAUGGCUUUUUGUGUGGAUUCCUUCCCUUUUGAAGGCCACCACUGUUUGCACAGCAUCACAGCCUGCCUGCCUUGAUCUUGCGGAAGAAAAUACAAAAUGCCUAUUUUUUGAAAUGCAUGCAUGGCUCCAUGCAACACCACCUGUCAUCGGGGUGUUAAGGCUUUUUGCAGAGAAAAUGUAAUGACGCCUUAUGUGUGCCCUGGUGGCUAAGUGUUUGCCUCUUUGCCUGUGUAAAAAUUUCACACUUAUGGAUACUGUUAAGGGUUCCUGUAUCAUAUUUUCUUUCACAUCCUAAGAAAUUUUUGUCUCAUUAUAAAACUAAAAAUUAUAGUUGAAUUGCUGCUUUGUGUGAUAUGCAAUAUUCAGCUGAAGGUGAUCAGCAGAGGUCGAACAAGUGUUAUAUCAGGUGGAGAAAUUUUUUUGAGAAGUGGACUUCUUCGAUAGGGUAACAACCGUUUUCCUUGGC